This 497-nucleotide ribosomal RNA is filed under the name uncultured bacterium. Its description in RNAcentral is "partial 16S ribosomal RNA". It matches the Rfam family "Bacterial small subunit ribosomal RNA", at positions 28 to 507 of the family's 1533-position model. The record is from RNAcentral.
GAUGAACGCUGGCGGCGUGCCUAAUACAUGCAAGUCGAGCGAACGGACGAGAAGCUUGCUUAUCUGAUGUUAGCGGCGGACGGGUGAGUAACACGUGGAUAACCUACCUAUAAGACUGGGAUAACUUCGGGAAACCGUAGCUAAUACCGGAUAAUAUUUUGAACCGCAUGGUUCAAAAGUGAAAGACGGUCUUGCUGUCACUUAUAGAUGGAUCCGCGCUGCAUUAGCUAGUUGGUAAGGUAACGGCUUACCAAGGCAACGAUGCAUAGCCGACCUGAGAGGUUGAUCGGCCACACUGGAACUGAGACACGGUCCAGACUCCUACGGGAGGCAGCAGUAGGGAAUCUUCCGCAAUGGGCGAAAGCCUGACGGAGCAACGCCGCGUGAGUGAUGAAGGUCUUCGGAUCGUAAAACUCUGUUAUUAGGGAAGAACAUAUGUGUAAGUAACUGUGCACAUCUUGACGGUACCUAAUCAGAAAGCCACGGCUAACUACGUG